GUUGGAGAAUUGUAAUAAGGGCCGGGUCACACCCGUUCCCAUACCGAACACGGUAGUUAAGCUCUUCAGCGCCGAUGGUAGUCGGGGGCUUCCCCCUGUGAGAGUAGGACGCCGCCAAGC
This 120-nucleotide ribosomal RNA is filed under the name Bacillus sp. ISL-32. The record is from RNAcentral. Lineage: Bacteria; Bacillati; Bacillota; Bacilli; Caryophanales; Bacillaceae.